UCCCUCCCCUUCCCUGGCCGGGGCUUUCGCCGAGCAGAAAUCCUGCCUGGAGGAAAUGGAGCCUCUGGAGGAAAAGCCUGCAAGGAUCCAGCUCCAGGCAAGGCUCCGGGUCCUGCUAGACAUGGAGUGGAGCGGACCGCGAUGGGGGCUCGUGUCACGGAGCUCUGUGGGGCAUGGCAGUGAGUGACGAACGGCCCCACCUCUGCGGGGACGUCGCCUUGUGGAGGCUGCGGGGAUUUAUGGCUCCUCUCUCACCUGACAGAUGCAGUCCUGGGUGCACGUUGGUGUUUCUGGGGAAGGGCCCCAGAGUGAGCGUGUUGGGGUUUUGCUGAUGCACACAUGCAAAAAAGCAAAUUUUGCAGAUGUGGAAGAUGUCACUGUGGGAGCUGGCACAGCCUAUUUUAUGAUGCCAGCAUCUGCAAACUGCUCUGUCCCUUGCACCCUCCCAGGAUGUAUAAACAAAACCAGAAGGCAGUAAUUCCACCUGUUUCUGCCUUUUUAGCCACUUUAGCAAUCCCUAGUCAUGUUUCCACGUGCUCUCAAGAGAUAUUCCAAAUACAGGUAUGGGGGACAUACUUCAAACCAUAAAUCAAGAUAUUUAUACAUUCUGUUCAUUUACAAACAUGCUUUCAUUACUGAAAAAUAUAUUAUUCACUCCCUGCCUCAUUUUAUUCUCACAAAUAAAUGCAGCUGAGUCUUAUCUUUCUACAGGGUACUUAUCACAGACCCACGUUAUUAAACAUUAUACUCUUACCAUCAUGGA
Molecule: long non-coding RNA, 763 nt
Organism: Cygnus atratus (black swan)
Lineage: Eukaryota; Metazoa; Chordata; Aves; Anseriformes; Anatidae
Exons: 2
Source: RefSeq, a predicted model, not a curated record